RNAcentral lists this ribosomal RNA (322 nucleotides) under Staphylococcus aureus. RNAcentral's name for it is "bacterial SSU rRNA". It matches the Rfam family "Bacterial small subunit ribosomal RNA", at positions 1213 to 1533 of the family's 1533-position model. The record is from RNAcentral. Lineage: Bacteria; Bacillati; Bacillota; Bacilli; Caryophanales; Staphylococcaceae.
GCUACACACGUGCUACAAUGGACAAUACAAAGGGCAGCGAAACCGCGAGGUCAAGCAAAUCCCAUAAAGUUGUUCUCAGUUCGGAUUGUAGUCUGCAACUCGACUACAUGAAGCUGGAAUCGCUAGUAAUCGUAGAUCAGCAUGCUACGGUGAAUACGUUCCCGGGUCUUGUACACACCGCCCGUCACACCACGAGAGUUUGUAACACCCGAAGCCGGUGGAGUAACCUUUUAGGAGCUAGCCGUCGAAGGUGGGACAAAUGAUUGGGGUGAAGUCGUAACAAGGUAGCCGUAUCGGAAGGUGCGGCUGGAUCACCUCCUUU